UCCUACGGGAGGCAGCAGUAGGGAAUCUUCCGCAAUAGACGAAAGUCUGACGGAGCAACGCCGCGUGAGUGAUGAAGGCUUUCGGGUCGUAAAACUCUGUUGUUAGGGAAGAACAAGUGCUAGUUGAAUAAGCUGGCACCUUGACGGUACCUAACCAGAAAGCCACGGCUAACUACGUGCCAGCAGCCGCGGUAAUACGUAGGUGGCAAGCGUUAUCCGGAAUUAUUGGGCGUAAAGCGCGCGCAGGUGGUUUCUUAAGUCUGAUGUGAAAGCCCACGGCUCAACCGUGGAGGGUCAUUGGAAACUGGGAGACUUGAGUGCAGAAGAGGAAAGUGGAAUUCCAUGUGUAGCGGUGAAAUGCGUAGAGAUAUGGAGGAACACCAGUGGCGAAGGCGACUUUCUGGUCUGUAACUGACACUGAGGCGCGAAAGCGUGGGGAGCAAACAGGAUUAGAUACCCUGGUAGUCCACGCCGUAAACGAUGAGUGCUAAGUGUUAGAGGGUUUCCGCCCUUUAGUGCUGAAGUUAACGCAUUAAGCACUCCGCCUGGGGAGUACGGCCGCAAGGCUGAAACUCAAAGGAAUUGACGGA
Molecule: ribosomal RNA, 590 nt
Filed under: uncultured bacterium
Lineage: Bacteria
Description: bacterial SSU rRNA
Rfam family: Bacterial small subunit ribosomal RNA
Source: RNAcentral